RNAcentral lists this ribosomal RNA (1464 nucleotides) under uncultured organism. RNAcentral describes it as "bacterial SSU rRNA". It matches the Rfam family "Bacterial small subunit ribosomal RNA". The record is from RNAcentral.
UGGCGGCAUGGCUAAGACAUGCAAGUCGAACGGACCAUAUAAUUGGGUAACCGAAAGUAUGGUUAGUGGCGAAAGGGUGAGGAAUAGAUAGGAACGUACCCUGUGCUCUGGGAUAGCGUCUGAAGCUUCGGCUUCUUCCGAAAGGGGCGGUAAUACCAGAUAAUGUCCUUCGGGACCAAGAUUUAUCGGCAUUGGAGCGGCCUAUCUCCUAUCAGCUUGUUGGUGAGGUAACGUGCUCACCAAGGCAACGACGGGUAGCGGGACUGAGAGGUUGGCCCGCCACAUCGGGACUGAGACACUGCCCGGACCUCCACGGAGGGCUGCAGUAACGGAUAUUGGGCAAUGGGCGAAAGCCUGACCCAGCAAUGCCGCGUGCAGGAUGAAGCCCCUAGGGGUGUAAACUGCUGUCAGGGGUCAGAAAGCUGGUUUCGGCCAGUUGAUCAACCCCAGAAGGACAGUCACGGCUAACUUCGUGCCAGCAGCCGCGGUAAUACGAAGGUUGGCAAGCGUUAUUCGGAAUCAUUGGGCUUAAAGGGCACGCAGGCGGAACAGUGUGUGUUGUGUGAAAUCCCCCGGCUUAACCCGGGGAAUUGCACAGCAAACUGCUGUUCUUGAGGCAGGUAGGGGUGCAUGGAACUCUUGGUGGACCGGUGGAAUGCGUAGAUAUCAAGAGGAACGCCAGAGGUGAAGACGGUGCACUGGGCCUGUCCUGACGCUGAGGUGCGAAAGCGUGGGGAGCGAACGGGAUUAGAUACCCCGGUAGUCCACGCCGUAAACGAUGUCUACUAGGUCGUGGGUGUUCUGACACAUUCACGGCCGGAGCAAAAGUGUUUAGUAGACCGCCUGGGGAGUACGGCCGCAAGGUUAAAACUCAAAUGAAUUGACGGGGGCUCACACAAGCGGUGGAGCAUGUGGAUUAAUUCGAAGCAACGCGCAGAACCUUACCUGGGUUUGACAUGCUUGGAUGCCUGCUCUGAAAGGAGUUAGGCUGCCUUCGGGUGAAACUUGCACAGGUGCUGCAUGGCUGUCGUCAGCUCGUGUCGUGAGAUGUCGGGUUAAGUCCUUUAACGAGCGAAACCCUUGCCGUUAGUUGCUAGCGAGUAAUGUCGGGGACUCUAACGGGACUGCCGGUGUUAAACCGGAGGAAGGUGGGGAUGACGUCAAGUCCUCACGGCCUUUAUGCCCAGGGCUUCACACGUGCUACAAUGGCAAUUACAGAGCGACGCGAUACCGCGAGGUGGAGCAAAUCGCAAAAAAAUUGCCUCAGUUCGGAUUGCAGGCUGGCAAUUCGCCUGCAUGAAGUCGGAAUCGCUAGUAAUCGCGUAUCAGCAAUGACGCGGUGAAUGUGUUCCUGAGCCUUGUACACACCGCCCGUCAAGUGAUGGAAGCCGGGAGUACCCGAAGUCGGGUUGCUAACCUUUGGGAGGCGCCUGCCGACGGUAAGUUCGGUGACUGGCACUAAGU